GUGAGCCGGAUGCGGGAAACCCGCCUGUCCGGUUCGAUGUGGCGGGGACCGGAGACGGAGUGAUGGCGCGCUCUAC
Molecule: unclassified non-coding RNA, 76 nt
Filed under: Myxococcus xanthus
Lineage: Bacteria; Pseudomonadati; Myxococcota; Myxococcia; Myxococcales; Myxococcaceae
Source: RNAcentral